Non-coding RNA from Pantherophis guttatus, 1187 nucleotides. NCBI's taxonomy places the organism in Eukaryota, Metazoa, Chordata, Lepidosauria, Squamata, Colubridae. The record is from RefSeq and is a predicted model, not a curated record.
GCCUGCGUCACUAGACGAGAUUCAGGUCUGGUUCGGGCGGGGUGGUGGUGGUGGUAGGGCGCGCGUUUUGCAUAUUAAAAUUGCGGACGUGAGCGCGUUCGAGGAAGCGGGUGCUUCGGUUCAUCUUUCCGCGGACGGAACGACCUGCGCGCCUUACCGAGUGUUAAACCAGAGCCGUUAUAAUGAGAAGCGGCAGAAUAAAACUAUUCAUUCGGUUGAAGUGGAAGCUUAACGAUAGGCUGGACAGACCUGGAGGAACUUUAUUUGAAGUUGUUCAGAAGCCACGUUUGCGUUACGCGACACCUUUGGGAACUGCGGUUAAGGCAUCUGGCUGGAAACCGGGGGGACCAGAUUGAAAAUACUGGUUCAGGUUGGUAGUUCCUGUUUCCAGAGGUGAAAAGCAGUGGCAGGGCGACUCGUGUGUAUGCUACCUGAUGCUCCAAUAUACUGGAUAUAUUGAUCAACUAGAGGUAGAAAUCAACCCCUUUAUGAAAAAUACAGGUAAUUCUCACUUAUCAAAGGUAAUUGGCACUGGGAAUUCCAUCACUAAGGGACGUGGUGGUAAGGCAUAAUAUCAUGUGACUGUUCUGGCAGUUCUGACCAUUCAUGUUGCCAUUGUUAAGCGAUUCCUGUGCAGUCCCAGUGCUCCUGGUCACACAAUUGCUCUUUGCAACCUAUUGCUGGCUUCACCAUUCACUGGUCGUCGGAAGCCAGCAGUGAAGGUUGCAAAUAGUGAUCAUGUCAGAAUGGUGCAACAUCAUAGUUAUGACCCAAUUGCCAAAUGGCCACAUUGCAAUUACAUGACUCUGGGAAUGCUGGGAUGACCACAACUACAAGGACCUGUGAUCAAGUACCCUUUGUUCAGUGCCGUCAUAACUUUGAACAGUUGCUGAAUGAAUGGACAUUAAACAAGGGCUACAUAUAACACGUGUUUUCUCACACUCUGAUAUAUUCAGGCAAUCUAGUCAUAUUACAAAAUUGAUUGGCAAUAUACUUAUCUAAAAUGUAAGUGGCCUCUAUGUAGUCUAGAUUUUGCCUUUAAGGAUAGACUGGUUACUUUGAUUUUCAUAAUCAUCAAGAAAGAAAAUAUUGCAAUCUUCUUUUUCCUUACUACCUCUUUUACUGCUUUCGGUGUCAUAAUAUCAUGUCUUGGAGAUAAGGUGGGAUUAAAGCAAGUUUUCCCCCAA